UGCGUAGGCGGAAUAUUAAGUCAGUGGUGAAAUCCUGCGGCUCAACCGUAGAACUGCCAUUGAUACUGAUAUUCUUGAAUAUAGUUGAGGUAAGCGGAAUGUGUAAUGUAGCGGUGAAAUGCUUAGAUAUUACACAGAACACCGAUUGCGAAGGCAGCUUGCUAAACUAUUAUUGACGCUGAUGCACGAAAGCGUGGGGAGCGAACAGGAUUAGAUACCCUGGUAGUC
RNAcentral lists this ribosomal RNA (228 nucleotides) under uncultured bacterium. RNAcentral describes it as "partial 16S ribosomal RNA". It matches the Rfam family "Bacterial small subunit ribosomal RNA", at positions 568 to 795 of the family's 1533-position model. The record is from RNAcentral.